This 164-nucleotide ribosomal RNA is filed under the name Ensete superbum. Its description in RNAcentral is "5.8S ribosomal RNA". It matches the Rfam family "5.8S ribosomal RNA". From Rfam's summary of the family: 5.8S ribosomal RNA (5.8S rRNA) is a component of the large subunit of the eukaryotic ribosome. Lineage: Eukaryota; Viridiplantae; Streptophyta; Magnoliopsida; Zingiberales; Musaceae. The record is from RNAcentral.
UGGAUGACUCUCGGCAACGGAUAUCUCGGCUCUUGCAUCGAUGAARAACGUAGCGAAAUGCGAUACCUGGUGUGAAUUGCAGAAUCCCGUGAACCAUCAAGUCUUUGAACGCAAGUUGCGCCCGAGGCCAUCCGGCCAAGGGCACGCCUGCCUGGGCGUCACGC